Molecule: ribosomal RNA, 435 nt
Filed under: uncultured bacterium
Lineage: Bacteria
Description: bacterial SSU rRNA
Rfam family: Bacterial small subunit ribosomal RNA
Source: RNAcentral
AAUCAACGCUGGCGGCGUGCCUCAGACAUGCAAGUCGAACGCGAAAGUUCCCUUCGGGGAGCGAGUAGAGUGGCGCACGGGUGAGUAACACGUAGGUAAUCUACCUUCGGAUGGGGAAUAACAACCGGAAACGGUUGCUAAUACCGCAUAAUGCAGCGGCACCUAAUGGUGACAGUUGUUAAAGCGGGGGAUCGAAAGACCUCGCGUCUGAAGAGGAGCCUGCGGCGGAUUAGCUAGUUGGUAAGGUAACGGCUUACCAAGGCGACGAUCCGUAGCCGGCCUGAGAGGGCGGUCGGGCCACACUGACACUGACAUACGGGUCAGACUCCUACGGGAGGCAGCAGUCGGGAAUUUUGGGCAAUGGGCGAAAGCCUGACCCAGCAACGCCGCGUGAAGGAUGAGAUCCCUCGGGAGUGUAAACUUCGCAAGAACGGG